This 472-nucleotide ribosomal RNA is filed under the name uncultured bacterium. RNAcentral describes it as "partial 16S ribosomal RNA". It matches the Rfam family "Bacterial small subunit ribosomal RNA", at positions 28 to 507 of the family's 1533-position model. The record is from RNAcentral.
GACGAACGCUGGCGGCGUGCUUAACACAUGCAAGUCGAACGCUGAAGCUUGGUGUUUGCACUGGGUGGAUGAGUGGCGAACGGGUGAGUAAUACGUGAGUAACCUGCCCUUGACUCUGGGAUAAGCCUGGGAAACUGGGUCUAAUACUGGAUACGACAUGUCACCGCAUGGUGGUGUGUGGAAAGGGUUUUACUGGUUUUGGAUGGGCUCACGGCCUAUCAGCUUGUUGGUGGGGUAAUGGCUCACCAAGGCGACGACGGGUAGCCGGCCUGAGAGGGUGACCGGCCACACUGGGACUGAGACACGGCCCAGACUCCUACGGGAGGCAGCAGUGGGGAAUAUUGCACAAUGGGCGGAAGCCUGAUGCAGCGACGCCGCGUGAGGGAUGACGGCCUUCGGGUUGUAAACCUCUUUCAGCACGGAAGAAGCGAAAGUGACGGUACGUGCAGAAGAAGCGCCGGCUAACUACGUG